UUUUAAGUAGUUUAAAAAAAAUAAUAAUUUGUGGUGUUAUAGCUACUUUUAUUUUUAAGUC
This 61-nucleotide transfer RNA is filed under the name Phagocata gracilis. Its description in RNAcentral is "tRNA-His". The record is from RNAcentral. Lineage: Eukaryota; Metazoa; Platyhelminthes; Tricladida; Planariidae.